ACGCACUAAUAGCACCAGCGAUGAAAAUGGACUGGUGCUGGGUCGUAUCACUCCCUCCUCCAGCAUUUCUGCCACCAUCUUCUCCAUGACCUAUUUCUGAAAGUACAGGUACCUGUAUGGUUUAACAUUCACUGGUUGCGCCCCUGGAAUAAGGUGUAUUGAAUGAUCUUGAACACGAGAAGGUGGCAAUCCUUUAGGUUUCUGAAACACAUCAUCAUAUGACUCCAAAAUACCCCUCAAAUCAGAGGUCAUUUCACCUGCACAAUUCUCUUCAGGAGUAACCAUUGCCAAUAAAAAGAAAGAAGCAAUAGCAUCAGUUGAUGUCAUCCGCCUUAAGCUAUGUAGCUAGAUCUGAUGAGCAUCUGUGGGCGAAUAUCCCUUCCAUAACCACUUAGACCCCUAUAAAUUAAAUUCAAAUUCCCUUGUUGCAUAAUUAGUCACAACACGCCCCAAUGUGGCCAACCAUGCCACUCCAAAGACUACAUCAGCGCCUUGUAAAGGUAAGACAUAAAGAUCCUUGACUAGAGUACACCCUUGAAUUAGUAAGCGAACUUGCUUCACUACACCUUCACAUGAUAGCCUUUGUCCAUUUCCUACUAUGACUGCAAAACGAGGAAUGAGCUCUACUUGGAGCUGAAGAUGUUUGGCCGCACGUGGUUGCAA
RNAcentral lists this long non-coding RNA (663 nucleotides) under Capsicum annuum. RNAcentral describes it as "long non-coding RNA (CANN_LNC014977)". The record is from RNAcentral. Lineage: Eukaryota; Viridiplantae; Streptophyta; Magnoliopsida; Solanales; Solanaceae.